RNAcentral lists this ribosomal RNA (253 nucleotides) under uncultured bacterium. RNAcentral's name for it is "partial 16S ribosomal RNA". It matches the Rfam family "Bacterial small subunit ribosomal RNA", at positions 524 to 776 of the family's 1533-position model. The record is from RNAcentral.
UACGGAGGAGGCAAGCGUUAUCCGGAAUUAUUGGGCGUAAAGCGUCCGCAGGUGGCGAUUCAAGUCUGCGGUCAAAGACUGGGGCUUAACCCUGGAAAGGCCGUGGAAACUGAAAAGCUAGAGUGCAGUAGGGGUAGAGGGAAUUCCCGGUGUAGCGAUGAAAUGCGUAGAGCUCGGGAAGAACAUCGGUGGCGAAAGCGCUCUGCUGGACUGCAACUGACGCUCAGGGACGAAAGCUAGGGGAGCGAAUGGG